Molecule: long non-coding RNA, 858 nt
Organism: Mizuhopecten yessoensis (Yesso scallop)
Lineage: Eukaryota; Metazoa; Mollusca; Bivalvia; Pectinida; Pectinidae
Exons: 3
Source: RefSeq, a predicted model, not a curated record
GGCAGUGUCCACUAGAGGUAUGUUAAGUGAAGGUCAGCGUCCACUAGAGGUAUGUUUAGUGAAGGUCAGUGUCCACUAGAGGUAUGUUAAGUGAAGGUCAGUGUCCGCAAGAGGUAUGUUUAGUGAAGGUCAGCAUCCGCUAGAGGUAUGUUUAGUGAAGGUAAGCGUCCGCUAGAGGUAUGUUUAGUGAAGGUCAGCGUCCACUAGAGGUAUGUUUAGUGGAAGGCAGUGUCCACUAGAGGUAUGUUUAGUGAAGGUCCGCAUCCGCUAGAGGUAUGUUUAGUGAAGGUCAGCGUCUGCUAGAGGUAUGUUUAGUGAAGUUCAGCAUCCGUUAGAGGUAUGUUUAGUGAAGGUCAGCGUCCACUAGAGGAAUGUUUAGUGGAAGGCAGCGUCCACUAGAGGUAUGUUAAGUGAAGGUCAACGUCCGCUAGAGGUAUGUUAAGUGAAGGUCAGUGUCCGCUAGAGGUAUGUUUAGUGAAGGUCAGCAUCCACUAGAGGUAUGUUAAGUGAAGGUCAGCGUCCGCUAGAGGUAUGUUAAGUGAAGUUCAGCGUCGGCUAGAGGUAUGUUUAGUGAAGGUCAGCCUCCGCUAGAGGUAUGUUUAGUGAAGGUCAGUCUCCACUAGAGGUAUGUUAAUUGAAGGUCAGCGUCCGCUAGAGGUAUGUUUAGUGAAGGUCAGUCUCCACUAGAGGUAUGUUAAUUGAAGGUCAGCGUCCGCUAGAGGUAUGUUUAGUGAAGUUCAGCGUCCACUAGAGGUAUGUUAAGUGAAGGUCAGUGUCCACUAGAGGUAUGUUAAGUGAAGGUCAGCGUCUACUAGAGGUAUGUUUAGUGAAGGUCAGUCUCCACUAGAGGUAUGUUAA